GUAAAGCGGCGAACUGGUGAGUAACAGGUGGGUAAUGUGCCUUUCAGUGGGGGAUAACACUUGGAAACAGGUGCUAAUACCGCAUAUUGCUCGAGAAGCGUUGGCUUUUCGGGCCAAAGGGAUCCAUAAGCAAUUGUGGGUUUCGCUGGAAGAUCAGCCCGCCCCUGAUUAGCCUGUUGGUGAGGUAACGGCUCACCAAAGCUAUGAUCAGUAGCUGGUCUGAGAGGAUGGUCAGCCACACUGGGACUGAGAUACGGCCCAGACUCCUACGGGGGGCAGCAGUCUAGAAGCUUCGGCAAUGGGGGAAACCCUGACCGAGCGACGCCGCGUGCGGGAUGAAGGUCGUGAGAUUGUAAACCGCUGUCAGCAGGAAAGAAUGCCCGAAUGGCGAAUUCGGGAGAGACGGUACCUGCAGAGGAAGCCCCGGCUAACUCCGUGCCAGCAGCCGCGGUAAUACGGAGGGGGCAAACGUUGUUCGGAAUUACUGGGCGUAAAGGGUGCGUAGGCGGUUCGAUAAGUCUAGUGUGAAAUCUCUCAGCUUACCUGAGAAACUGCGCUGGAAA
This 563-nucleotide ribosomal RNA is filed under the name uncultured Candidatus Sumerlaeota bacterium. Its description in RNAcentral is "bacterial SSU rRNA". It matches the Rfam family "Bacterial small subunit ribosomal RNA", at positions 90 to 632 of the family's 1533-position model. Lineage: Bacteria; Candidatus Sumerlaeota. The record is from RNAcentral.